RNAcentral lists this ribosomal RNA (777 nucleotides) under uncultured Neocallimastigales. RNAcentral describes it as "partial large subunit ribosomal RNA". It matches the Rfam family "Eukaryotic large subunit ribosomal RNA", at positions 23 to 633 of the family's 3401-position model. The record is from RNAcentral. Lineage: Eukaryota; Fungi; Neocallimastigomycota; Neocallimastigomycetes; Neocallimastigales.
AUAGAGACUCAGAGCUGCAUAUCAAUAAGCGGAGGAAAAGAAACUAACAAGGAUUCCCUUAGUAACGGCGAGUGAAGCGGGAAGAGCUCAAAUUUGAAAUCUUCAAGGUUUUACCUUGACGAAUUGUAGUUUAAAGAAGUGUUUUCUGUUGGAAGUUUUGGUAAAAGUUCUUUGGAAUAGGACAUCAUAGAGGGUGAGAAUCCCGUAUUUGACCAUUUACUUUCAGCUUUGUGAUACACUUUCAAAGAGUCGGAUUGUUUGGGAAUGCAGUCCAAAAUGGGUGGUAAAUUUCAUCUAAAGCUAAAUAUUGGCGAGAGACCGAUAGCGAACAAGUACCGUGAGGGAAAGAUGAAAAGAACUUUGAAAAGAGAGUUAAACAGUACGUGAAAUUGUCAAAAGGGAAGCGUUUGACACCAGUGUUGUUUUUCUGAAAAUCAAUUAAAGAACUGUUUAUGCUAAGUUGUUUAGACUUUAUCAGCUAUCUGUUUAGUUUUGAGCUUUUCUUUAAUGCACUUUUCAGUUAACAAGUCAACAUCAAUUUCUUUUGCUGUAAAAAAGCUUGAGGAAGGUGGCUUGAGAUUCGUCUUAAGUGUUUAUAGCCUCUUGCCUAUGCAGUCGGAGAGAUUGAGGUCUGCAGCGUAAGAUCCUUCGGAGCUAAAUGCAUUUGUGCUAAGUUAUAGCAUUUUAUAGACAACUUGUUGACUAUGAUUUGUCUUGUAGCUUACUCGCUUAUGUUAUUUUACCUACGCUUAGGAUGUUGAACGCGCACAGAGUCUC